RNAcentral lists this small nucleolar RNA (104 nucleotides) under Klebsormidium nitens. Its description in RNAcentral is "Small nucleolar RNA Z266". It matches the Rfam family "Small nucleolar RNA Z266". Rfam says of the family: Z266 is a member of the C/D class of snoRNA which contain the C (UGAUGA) and D (CUGA) box motifs. Most of the members of the box C/D family function in directing site-specific 2'-O-methylation of substrate RNAs. Lineage: Eukaryota; Viridiplantae; Streptophyta; Klebsormidiophyceae; Klebsormidiales; Klebsormidiaceae. The record is from Rfam by way of RNAcentral.
AUAUGGCGAGGAGGAUGAUUCAAUUAGAUGUGUGACGCAGACUUGUCUGCGCUGAACAUACACACUUGAGGCAUAUUCAUUCAUACCGAACUGACUCGCCAUAU